Molecule: ribosomal RNA, 1370 nt
Filed under: Brevibacillus parabrevis
Lineage: Bacteria; Bacillati; Bacillota; Bacilli; Caryophanales; Paenibacillaceae
Description: partial 16S ribosomal RNA
Rfam family: Bacterial small subunit ribosomal RNA
Source: RNAcentral
UGUAAAGCUGCAGGUGCCUAAUACAUGCAAGUCGAGGGGGAAGGGGAUUGAUGGGCGGCGGGGGAGUUAGGACGGCAACCUGGUUCAGACCGGGAUAACAUAGGGAAACUUAUGCUAAUACCGGAUAGGUAAAAGGAAUGCAUGAUCCGAAAAGAAAAGAUGGCUUCGGCUAUCACUGGGAGAUGGGCCUGCGGCGCAUUAGCUAGUUGGUGGGGUAACGGCCUACCAAGGCGACGAUGCGUAGCCGACCUGAGAGGGUGACCGGCCACACUGGGACUGAGACACGGCCCAGACUCCUACGGGAGGCAGCAGUAGGGAAUUUCCACAAUGGACGAAAGUCUGAUGGAGCAACGCCGCGUGAACGAUGAAGGUCUUCGGAUUGUAAAGUUCUGUUGUCAGGGACCAACACGUGCCGUUCGAAUAGGGCGGUACCUUGACGGUACCUGACGAGAAAGCCACGGCUAACUACGUGCCAGCAGCCGCGGUAAUACGUAGGUGGCAAGCGUUGUCCGGAUUUAUUGGGCGUAAAGCGCGCGCAGGCGGCUAUGUAAGUCUGGUGUUAAAGCCCGGAGCUCAACUCCGGUUCGCAUCGGAAACUGUGUAGCUUGAGUGCAGAAGAGGAAAGCGGUAUUCCACGUGUAGCGGUGAAAUGCGUAGAGAUGUGGAGGAACACCAGUGGCGAAGGCGGCUUUUUGGUCGGAAACUGACGCUGAGGCGGAAAGGAUGGGGAGCAAACAGGAUUAAACCCCUGGUAGUCCAGCCGUAAACGAUAGUGCUAUGUGUUGGGGGUUCAAUACCCUCAGUGCCGAGCUAACGCAAUAGGAUCCGGCUGGGGACACGCUUGCAGAGUGAGUUUGGUGUAUUACGAGGCGCAGAACGGAUAGCAUGUGCUUUAAUUGGAUCGAACGUAGACCUUACAAUGUCUUGCCUCCACCUCGCGCUGCGGAGGCUUAGUUUCCCUCGGGACAACGGGCCAGCUAGUGCAUCGUUGUCGCAACGGGGGUCGUUCCAUCGGGGAGAAUGGAAGAGCGAGUGUGCCCCUACUUUGAGGUGGCUGCUUUCAGUUGGGCCCUCGGGCGUGCCUGCCGUCGACAAGACGGAGGAAGGCGCGGAUGACGUCAAAUCAUCAUGCCCCUUAUGACCUGGGCUACACACGUGCUCCAAUGGUUGGUACAACGGGAUGCUACCUCGCGAGGGGACGCCAAUCUCUGAAAACCAAUCUCAGUUCGGAUUGUAGGCUGCAACUCGCCUACAUGAAGUCGGAUUCGCUUGUAAUCGCGGAUCAGCAUGCCGCGGUGAAUACGUUCCGGGGCCUUGACACCCGCCCGCCCUCCCGAGUUCGCCCCCCAAAUCCCUCUUUACCCACUUGU